CUGCAACCUGCAACUCGACUCCAUGAAGUCGGAAUCGCUAGUAAUCGUGGAUCAGAAUGCCACGGUGAAUACGUUCCCGGGCCUUGUACACACCGCCCGUCACACCAUGGGAGUGGGUUGCAAAAGAAGUAGGUAGCUUAACCUUCGGGAGGGCGCUUACCACUUUGUGAUUCAUGACUGGGGUGAAGUCGUAACAAGGUAACCGUAGGGGAACCUGCGGUUGGAUCACCUCCUUA
RNAcentral lists this ribosomal RNA (236 nucleotides) under Salmonella enterica. RNAcentral describes it as "partial 16S ribosomal RNA". It matches the Rfam family "Bacterial small subunit ribosomal RNA", at positions 1298 to 1533 of the family's 1533-position model. Lineage: Bacteria; Pseudomonadati; Pseudomonadota; Gammaproteobacteria; Enterobacterales; Enterobacteriaceae. The record is from RNAcentral.